Centrocercus urophasianus (Greater sage-grouse) is the source of this 3486-nucleotide long non-coding RNA. RefSeq lists it as uncharacterized. NCBI's taxonomy places the organism in Eukaryota, Metazoa, Chordata, Aves, Galliformes, Phasianidae. The transcript is spliced from 11 exons. The record is from RefSeq and is a predicted model, not a curated record.
ACUAUUAAGGCUCCAGAAACAGCCAGAGACAGGAGGCUACAAAAUACUCAGUUUCUAAGGGCUUUUGACUGAAGUGUGCGAGACAUAACUGCAUGUGGAGAGUCAUCUCUUGCACUUGACCGGCUGCUUGUUGCCUGGCUUAGAAUGCAUUUCGUGGUCAGUGGAAAAAAAUGAGGAAGAGGAGGGUGUGGCUGCAGAGAAUUUGGCUGUGCAGGCAGGGACUGGCUUUGGGGUUGUGAUCCUUCAACCUCGCAGAAGGAAGACUUCUCUUAGUCAUAAAUGGUUCGAUUCAGAGGUGCUGUUCUGAACCGAGGCCUUCCUGCUCCAACUGCCUGUGAACUCCACAGGCAAAACUGCACUGCUGCAGCUGCUGGUGGUGGAGUUUGCUUGGACUUCCCCAGUGCACGUUUCAUAAUGCAGUGCAUUGUCCACAGGGUGUCUUUGAGAGUGGGAUAGAAAUCCAUUCACAUUUUCUAAAAUCCUUGCUGUGCGUUCUGUCAUUUUUGUCAAAUAUGAAAUGUGUGUGUGUGUGUGUAUAAGCAGAAUGCUCAACUGUAUCUGCGUAUGGGAAUAAAAAUUUCUAGACAAAGGAAAUACAGAAUCACAUCUAUGUGUGACAUUUUGUUUACUAAAGCUGAAAAAUAGCAGAAUACUGUUAAAGCCGAAUAUGUAAAUUUAGACAUCCUUUCAAAAUGUAGGAAGCCUGGUAAUGAAUACAAGUGUGGCAAUUUUGGUAAGUAUAACAUGACAUGGGGGAGAAAUGAUUCCCAGGAAGACAGUUCAUGGAAUACAAAUUUUAUAAAGUACUGAAUUAAAUGUGGUGUUAUUUUUUCCUCAACUGUAAUCUAUACUUGCAAUUAAUAUAAAUAAUAUAAAGCCUCUACUAUCUGUACAGAUAAAUACAUUAAUAGAGUUAUUAUACCAUUGAUAUUCUUUUUUCAUGAUAAUAAUUAUGAGUCAAUAUUGUUCGUGCUAAGAGGGUUGUUUUUCUUUUUUAAGAAAUGGGAUUUAAAUGCCAACACACUGUUACACUCUGAGACUUCAGAUAGCCAAUCUAGACAGAUGAAUCUAAGAUGCACAUGAUUCAUUACAUAUUUUAUUUUUAAAAGGUUAAAGAGAAAUAUUUAAUUGAACUGAAAAACUGAAGUUGGCUAUGUACAAUAGAUGGGAUACUAAUGUUCAGCUCAUAAAUGGAUAAAGUACCCAUGAAUUCACUGUGUGCAACCAAUUUGGGUUAAAUAUCUUCAUGUAUACUAAAUAAUUGCAACUCUGCUAUGAAUGUGUCAUCACAAUGGAUAACCCUUUUUAUUUUCUUCCACUGUGUGUGAAUUUGUCACCUUACUAACGUUUCACUGCAGAAAAAACCAACCAACCAAACAAACAAACAAAAAAAAACAGAGCAAUUUCUGUGGCAUGUUCUCCUUUUUGUUCCUACUACAAUUUACUUUGUAGCUCUUCAUUGUAAAACAGAUAAAAAACAGAGCCUCUUAAUACAAAAUUUGGUCACUCGGCAACUCUUGCUUACUUGAAAAGCCUGUGAGUAAUUUGCAAUAUGAAGGUAUUUUAAUGCCCUGUUUUGUGGACCUAAGAAAUUUCAGGUUUUCAUUGCAGAUUUCAGUAUGCCUAUCUGCUUAUUUUUUGCAGCUUAAUAUUCUCUAAAAAUCAACACUUUUAUAAUUUUUUUACAAGGCGAUAUUUACUUUCUUUUUUCUAUAUAUUUGUAUUUUAAUUCUCUCACUCCCCCCCUUUCUCCCCCAGUAGCUGUUUCUUCAGGGCACACAAUUUUGAGCAGACCUGCCCAUUUAAAUAAACAGGGGUGUGUUUUAAAAUCCAAUAGCUUGUCGUAACUCUGCGUUCCCAGUGAAAUCAGAAGAAAAGUAGUGCUGGAGCAGAGCACUUGAACUUUGAGAACUGGAGUUGUCAGUCACUGCUGAAGGUACAGGAACAGCGGAUGCCUCCCAUUGUUGUCGCUGGGAGCUGGCAGCAGCUGUGGCAGGGGGAGCGUGCGGAGGAGCCGCCAGCCGCCCGCUAGAAAGAAGCUCAAGAAAAGAAACCGACAAAGUUGGGCGGUGCAAGUUUUUAUAUCUAUUUAAUAUUUCGACGUGUCCCAGGCGUUAUUAGACAUCGGCGUGCAGAGCAGUCACGAUGCGCCUGGGAGCGAGUCCAUGGGGUUUUGUGCCAUUUGUACGCCUGGGCAACACCAUACCCGUCCUGAACUCAUAUUUUUGAGUGUCUCAGCCUGGAUGUAGCCCAGAUGUGUGAAAUACACAGCAGCAGAAUUUGAGUUUUCAAGUGAAAUAGCUUUUCUUUGUCUGAAUCAUUCUUCAAAAUGCAAGAUCAGAAGUUUCCUACUACGUCAUCUUCAAGACUCACAGAAAAUUCUCCUGCAACUUGUGGCUGCCUGGAAAAAGAUGAUGAUGUAGUCUGGCAAAAUGAACUCAAGAAACAAGAAGAAGACGCUAGAGACUGAUCUGCGAGUUGUUCAGAGUACUCACAGCCAUCUAAGGAGCUGAGGAUAAAGCUGGCUCUUUCCUGACUUCCACUGGAGAAAAGUGAAAAGGCAACAUCUGAAGAAGGCACUGUCAAUUCCCAAUGAUCCCAGGAGAACUGAAUUAGAUCCUGGGAUCUGAGCAAGCCAGAGGUGAGGCUGUCAUGAGGGUGAAACUCAUUUGAGUGCCCAGAGGUUCACUGAUAAGAUGCAAACCAGAAUCUGCCUAUUGGUAGUCUUUCCAGAUAUGAUUCAGAGCUAAUAAGAGAGACUGAGAAGUACCAUGACUCCAAACAGAAUCAUUUUGGCUUUGUCUCCCAUGGAUCCUGGCCUCACCCCAUUUUCCCACUGGGAUCUGCUGAAUGUCAUUUCUGCCCUCAGGAGCUGGGAAGCACGGCUCAGGCUGAGAUCCUGCUGCUGCUGCUCCCACAGAUGUCCCUGUCACGCCUGGCAGCCGGCUUAGGCUGGGCAGAAAGCCCACCAGGGCCAGCACAGCAAAUCAGCUGAUUUGGGGUGCCCCCUGGGGACCAAUCUGAUGGAAUAAUAACAACGGAAAGAGAAAGCUGGUGCUGUGAAUGGGCCUCUGAGAAAAUGUACAGAGAAGCUGCUGUCUGCUUUUUCACUAGCUGUCACUCACCUUAUAAUUGUUUCAGUGUGCACUGAAAUGAAGUUGAAACAUGCGUGUUUUCUCUUUCUGCAUCCCGAUUUUGAUUGUGCUAAGAGCAGUGGAAGAUCCCAUCAGUUGCCCUGAAACAUGACCUACCUACUUUGGGGUGAGAUCUGCUUUGUUGUAAAGGAUGGCUCUAGUUUUUCUGUGUGUAUCAUGUAUCCUUGUCUUUAAUUUGCAAUUAACAAAAAAACGUUUUGCUUGGAGAAGGCUCCAGGAAGUCCUCGUUGUGGCCUUCCAAGACUUGAAGGGAACGUAUAAUCAGGAGGGGGAAUGGCUGUUUACGAGGGUGGACAGUGAUAGAACAAGGGGGAAUGGUUUUAAACUGAGA